GACUCUUAAAUUUAAUUACAGCAGCGUUUUGAUGUGUCACGAACUAUUCAGUUUGCAUUUCCAAAAUUAAAUAAACUUAAAUAUCUAUACCUAAAAAAAUACCUCACCAAAUACUUAUCAGUUAUCACAAGGGUUCAGACUUGAUGCACUUAAAAACAUCAAGUCUUGAAAAAAAGCAUGCCAAGCAAAUAUUAUUAGACGAAAUCAUAAUAUUUAAAUGUCCCGCCUAAAGCCUAAAUUACUAAAUACAAUUUUUUAACACUACACAAAUUAU
Molecule: non-coding RNA, 274 nt
Organism: Cinara cedri
Lineage: Eukaryota; Metazoa; Arthropoda; Insecta; Hemiptera; Aphididae
Source: the annotation of a GenBank genome assembly